CGGGAGGAGGACCGGGGAAGCGGGAGGAGGCGCCGGAGCCGGAGCCGCCCCAGCCCGCGCCGCCAACUUGAGCAAGUUGGUCGCCGCUGCCCCCUCUGGCGGGCGGCGGCUGCCCCGCAGGGGCCGGGCCCCUCCCCCGCGGCCAAGGUCACAGCGGAGCGCUGGGUCCGCCGGAACGCACCGGGCGCGCCCUACCCGCUCUCGCUCGUGUCGGGCCGCGCCUCUUCCCCGGGAAACUCGAGUCCUGAAUUUCCUCGGAAUGCGCCCCGCUGCUACGGCCAACGGAUGUGACGAGGCUCCUCUGAUACCAGGGGGAAAGUUUCGGGAACCCUUAAAGGGGCAGCGAGGGCCUGAACUGGCCCUGUGGCCCCGCGCGCGAGGGAGCCCCGCAGCGGUGGGGGGUGACCUGAGGGUCGGAGAGGAGAAGAGAGAAUCGUCAGAGAGCCGCGAGCAUCUUCGGGAGUCAGCGCCUGCCCUCGCUAAGUUCAUCCCCGCCGCACUUACACCCACCCGAGUCUGGCAGCGUCUCUGGGCAUUUCUAGUGCGCCGAGGCCCCGCCCCCACCCCGGAUCCUGCUCCUUCCCUCUCCCCUCUCCCCACUUCGGCCCCUAGCGGCGGGGGGUGGGGGUGGGUUGGGGGUGGCCAGGGAGAGCGCGAGAGCUUUCGAGACCUCGCCCUAGAAAUCUUGGGGGGGGGGGGAGGGGGGAGGGGGCCUCGGCUCCCCCAGGCGCCGGUCGUCACCUCCCGGGAGGUGGUGUCCGCCGCUGGCUUUGAACUUGGGCUUCUCCUCCCCAGGACCGUCCGUCAUGCAGGUGAGAAGCUGCCCGGAGCCGCUCCUUCAGCUCCCUCAGGACUCCCUCCGUCCACCGAGCAACUCGCAGUCACGAUGCACAAAUCAGGGCGGCCAAGUCUGGGCCGCUGCCUUCCCUCCGUCGCCUCCCCCUCCGCCAGCCCUCGGCGGAUUAUCUAAUUAAUACUUGUUUAGCCGCGGACACGAAGACCAAAGAAGUAUCAGUCGUGCCAACAAGGAGGGUGAUUUUAUUUGAGGUACUAAACGCAGGGGGGGACAGCUGCACCUGCUAAAGCCCAUCGAUUUCUACUGAAACAAGGAGCAGAAAAAUCUCUCUACCUCCUCCAGCUGAAUUAUGCUGGCUGUUUUAAAAAACAAACAAACCCAUCUUCGAAACAGUGGGAAGGUUGGAGCAAAGCGUCACUCCUCCCUGAGGAUUGCCACUAAUAAAUAAAGAAGAAAUGGGACUGCAACGUCGCCACUGAGCAGACCCUAAUGAGUUCAGAGAUCGGGGCAUUGAGCGUACAUGGCUGAUAACUUUACACACAAAAAACAGAGACCACCAACGUUCUGUGCUUCCUGAUGGAAGUCCACAGAGCUGCCAGUGAAAUGUUCUCACCAGAAAAUCAAACCUGAAUCUGACUAAGGCUCUACAUCACAUCUUGGGGGCCAGCUCAGCCCUGCUGCCUGUUUUUGCGAAUAAAGCUUUAUUGAAACACA
Molecule: long non-coding RNA, 1510 nt
Organism: Mustela erminea (ermine)
Lineage: Eukaryota; Metazoa; Chordata; Mammalia; Carnivora; Mustelidae
Exons: 2
Source: RefSeq, a predicted model, not a curated record